AACGAACGCUGGCGGCAUGCCUAACACAUGCAAGUCGAACGAGACCUUCGGGUCUAGUGGCGCACGGUUGCGUAACGCGUGGGAAUCUUCCCUUGGGUUCGGAAUAACAGUUGGAAACGACUGCUAAUACCGGAUGAUGACUUAAGUCCAAAGAUUUAUCGCCCCAGGAUGAGCCCGCGUAGGAUUAGCUAGUUGGUGAGGUAAAGGCUCACCAAGGCGACGAUCCUUAGCUGGUCUGAGAGGAUGAUCAGCCACACUGGGACUGAGACACGGCCCAGACUCCUACGGGAGGCAGCAGUGGGGAAUAUUGGACAAUGGGCGAAAGCCUGAUCCAGCAAUGCCGCGUGAGUGAUGAAGGCAUUAGGGUUGUAAAGCUCUUUUACCCGGGAUGAUAAUGACAGUACCGGGAGAAUAAGCUCCGGCUAACUCCGUG
This 433-nucleotide ribosomal RNA is filed under the name uncultured bacterium. RNAcentral's name for it is "partial 16S ribosomal RNA". It matches the Rfam family "Bacterial small subunit ribosomal RNA", at positions 29 to 507 of the family's 1533-position model. The record is from RNAcentral.